CUAUCGAUCGUGUUUAUAUAAUGACUCUUAUAUAUUAUUGAUAUUUAUAUUUUACAUGUUAAUACUUUUUUUUUUUAGAGAUAUAUAGUACGCUAUCUGUUUUGUUUAUUUUAUUUAGAAAAUAAACUUAGCUGGAAAUGUGAAUCAACUAGAAUUCGAACUUGAGUCUCAAGUACCAACCACCAAGUUCUUUGACACUUGCUCUAGGAAUGGUCAGUUUUAAUAUGUUAAUACUAAAGUAAAGUUAGAACAUUUCUAGUUAUAAAUAUGAGAUUUUAUUUAUAUUUUAUUACGGUACACAAUUUA
This 306-nucleotide long non-coding RNA is filed under the name Ananas comosus (pineapple). RNAcentral's name for it is "long non-coding RNA (ACOM_LNC014919)". The record is from RNAcentral. Lineage: Eukaryota; Viridiplantae; Streptophyta; Magnoliopsida; Poales; Bromeliaceae.